Molecule: ribosomal RNA, 379 nt
Filed under: uncultured eukaryote
Lineage: Eukaryota
Description: SSU rRNA
Rfam family: Eukaryotic small subunit ribosomal RNA
Source: RNAcentral
AGCUCCAAUAGCGUAUAUUAAAGUUGUUGCCGUUAAAAAGCUCGUAGUCGAACUUCGGCGCCUGAUGGCCGGUCCGCCUUCUUGGUGUGUACUUGCUCAUCGGGCGCUUACCUCCUGGUGAACUCUGAUGUCCUUUAUUGGGUGUCAGAGCAAACCAGGACGUUUACUUUGAAAAAAUUAGAGUGUUCAAAGCAGGCCUACGCCCGAAUACAUUAGCAUGGAAUAAUAGAAUAGGACGCGCGUUCCCAUUUUGUUGGUUUCUGAGAUCGCCGUAAUGAUUAAUAGGGAUAGUUGGGGGCAUUUGUAUUCCGUCGUCAGAGGUGAAAUUCUUGGAUUGCCGGAAGACAAACUACUGCGAAAGCAUUUGCCAAGGAUGUUU